Molecule: long non-coding RNA, 795 nt
Organism: Spinacia oleracea (spinach)
Lineage: Eukaryota; Viridiplantae; Streptophyta; Magnoliopsida; Caryophyllales; Amaranthaceae
Exons: 4
Source: RefSeq, a predicted model, not a curated record
UCUUCUUAUACAGUCCUAUACUGACUCACUUCUCCCACUCACAAACUGAGGGUUAUGGCCUCAUGGGUAGAUUUAUAAUCGAAAAUCUUUGAAGAUUGUCUAAUUGUUAAUGAAAGAAUAGUUUUACAAAGAUUUACAUACUCGUUUUCGUUCCAGUCAAAUUGCAGGUUGUUGUGAUUGUUGGGAUAAGAAUUAAUGGAAAAUUCCUUUCAUUUCAUCUGAUCAAUUUGUGACAAACAAGAUUAACGCCUGAAGGGGAUUCUGUUUCCACAUUUUCAUUGCUCAGCAGCCUAAAACACCGGGUGCCUUAGUUUCUUAUCUUCCUUUUCAGAGAAAUCAAUGUAAAGAAAUGAUGAACACUUCUUAUUUUUCUAUAAUGUAUGCCAGGAAUAACUGAUUACGCUUGGCUUUUUGAAGUAUGUUCACUAUAGAAAAGAGAGUAUGUGUUCGUUUCUUCAUCAGCUGGUGCAGUUGGUCAGCUUGUUGGGAUAAUUUUCCAAGUACAAGGGUUGAUAUGUUGUUGGAAGUGCUGGAAGUAAAGAAAAGGAGCACGAUGAGCGAAAUAGAGAAGAAAUGUAGAUCUAGCAAUGAGACGGUGGAGGCUCUUGCUCGUUUUGGGUCAUUUUGUGAUUUCUAGUAAUGUUGAAUUUGUUUCUAUGGAUUUUAAUUUUAUGUACUUUUGUCAUUAGAAAUACUAAAUUAAUUUGUGAACAACUAUUUUGUAAUGCAUGUGUCCUAUGAGCACAAUUGUAGUAUUACUCUUCAAGUUAAUGAAAAUCUUUUGUUAUUGGCCUU